GAUGAACGCUGGCGGCGUGCCUAAUACAUGCAAGUCGAGCGAACGGACGAGAAGCUUGCUUUUCUGAUGUUAGCGGCGGACGGGUGAGUAACACGUGGAUAACCUACCUAUAAGACUGGGAUAACUUCGGGAAACCGGAGCUAAUACCGGAUAAUAUUUUGAACCGCAUGGUUCAAAAGUGAAAGACGGUCUUGCUGUCACUUAUAGAUGGAUCCGCGCUGCAUUAGCUAGUUGGUAAGGUAACGGCUUACCAAGGCAACGAUGCAUAGCCGACCUGAGAGGGUGAUCGGCCACACUGGAACUGAGACACGGUACAGACUCCUACGGGAGGCAGCAGUAGGGAAUCUUACGCAAUGGGCGAGAGCCUGACGGAGGAACGCCGCGUGAGUGAUGAAGGUCUUCGGAUCGUAAAACGCUGUUAUUAGGGAAGAACAUAUGUGUAAGUAACUGUGCACAUCUUGACGGUACCGAAUCAGAAAGCCACGGCUAACUACGUG
This 497-nucleotide ribosomal RNA is filed under the name uncultured bacterium. RNAcentral describes it as "partial 16S ribosomal RNA". It matches the Rfam family "Bacterial small subunit ribosomal RNA", at positions 28 to 507 of the family's 1533-position model. The record is from RNAcentral.